UACGGGGGGGGCAAGCGUUGUUCGGAAUUACUGGGCGUAAAGGGCGCGUAGGCGGCCGAUCAAGUCGGGGGUGAAAGCCUGUGGCUUAACCACAGAAUGGCCUCGAUACUGUUUGGCUUGAGACCGGAAGAGGUUAGUGGAACUGCGAGUGUAGAGGUGAAAUUCGUAGAUAUUCGCAAGAACACCAGUGGCGAAGGCGGCUGACUGGUCCGGUACUGACGCUGAGGUGCGAAAGCGUGGG
RNAcentral lists this ribosomal RNA (241 nucleotides) under uncultured bacterium. RNAcentral describes it as "partial 16S ribosomal RNA". It matches the Rfam family "Bacterial small subunit ribosomal RNA", at positions 524 to 765 of the family's 1533-position model. The record is from RNAcentral.